GACGAACGCUGGCGGCGUGCUUAACACAUGCAAGUCGAACGGAAAGGCCCUGCUUUUGUGGGGUGCUCGAGUGGCGAACGGGUGAGUAACACGUGUGUAACCUGCCCUUGACUUUGGGAUAACUUCAGGAAACUGGGGCUAAUACCGGAUAGGAGCUCCUGCAGCAUGGUGGGGGUUGGAAAGUUUCGGCGGUUGGGGAUGGACUCGCGGCUUAUCAGCUUGUUGGUGGGGUAGUGGCUUACCAAGGCUUUGACGGGUAGCCGGCCUGAGAGGGUGACCGGCCACAUUGGGACUGAGAUACGGCCCAGACUCCUACGGGAGGCAGCAGUGGGGAAUAUUGCACAAUGGGCGGAAGCCUGAUGCAGCAACGCCGCGUGCGGGAUGACGGCCUUCGGGUUGUAAACCGCUUUCGCCUGUGACGAAGCGUGAGUGACGGUAAUGGGUAAAGAAGCACCGGCUAACUACGUG
RNAcentral lists this ribosomal RNA (468 nucleotides) under uncultured bacterium. RNAcentral describes it as "partial 16S ribosomal RNA". It matches the Rfam family "Bacterial small subunit ribosomal RNA", at positions 28 to 507 of the family's 1533-position model. The record is from RNAcentral.